Molecule: ribosomal RNA, 1530 nt
Filed under: Rathayibacter sp. VKM Ac-2759
Lineage: Bacteria; Bacillati; Actinomycetota; Actinomycetes; Micrococcales; Microbacteriaceae
Description: bacterial SSU rRNA
Rfam family: Bacterial small subunit ribosomal RNA
Source: RNAcentral
UUUACGGAGAGUUUGAUCCUGGCUCAGGACGAACGCUGGCGGCGUGCUUAACACAUGCAAGUCGAACGAUGAAGCCCAGCUUGCUGGGUGGAUUAGUGGCGAACGGGUGAGUAACACGUGAGUAACCUGCCCUUGACUCUGGGAUAAGCGCUGGAAACGGCGUCUAAUACCGGAUACGACCUGCCCCGGCAUCGGGUGCGGGUGGAAAGUUUUUCGGUCAAGGAUGGACUCGCGGCCUAUCAGCUUGUUGGUGAGGUAAUGGCUCACCAAGGCGACGACGGGUAGCCGGCCUGAGAGGGUGACCGGCCACACUGGGACUGAGACACGGCCCAGACUCCUACGGGAGGCAGCAGUGGGGAAUAUUGCACAAUGGGCGAAAGCCUGAUGCAGCAACGCCGCGUGGGGGAUGACGGCCUUCGGGUUGUAAACCUCUUUUAGUAGGGAAGAAGGACUUCGGUUUGACGGUACCUGCAGAAAAAGCACCGGCUAACUACGUGCCAGCAGCCGCGGUAAUACGUAGGGUGCAAGCGUUGUCCGGAAUUAUUGGGCGUAAAGAGCUCGUAGGCGGUUUGUCGCGUCUGCUGUGAAAACCCGAGGCUCAACCUCGGGCCUGCAGUGGGUACGGGCAGACUAGAGUGCGGUAGGGGAGAAUGGAAUUCCUGGUGUAGCGGUGGAAUGCGCAGAUAUCAGGAGGAACACCGAUGGCGAAGGCAGUUCUCUGGGCCGUAACUGACGCUGAGGAGCGAAAGCAUGGGGAGCGAACAGGAUUAGAUACCCUGGUAGUCCAUGCCGUAAACGUUGGGCGCUAGAUGUGGGGACCUUUCCACGGUUUCCGUGUCGCAGCUAACGCAUUAAGCGCCCCGCCUGGGGAGUACGGCCGCAAGGCUAAAACUCAAAGGAAUUGACGGGGGCCCGCACAAGCGGCGGAGCAUGCGGAUUAAUUCGAUGCAACGCGAAGAACCUUACCAAGGCUUGACAUAUACCGGAAACUUCCAGAAAUGGUUGCCCCGCAAGGUCGGUAUACAGGUGGUGCAUGGUUGUCGUCAGCUCGUGUCGUGAGAUGUUGGGUUAAGUCCCGCAACGAGCGCAACCCUCGUUCUAUGUUGCCAGCACGUCAUGGUGGGAACUCAUAGGAGACUGCCGGGGUCAACUCGGAGGAAGGUGGGGAUGACGUCAAAUCAUCAUGCCCCUUAUGUCUUGGGCUUCACGCAUGCUACAAUGGCCGGUACAAAGGGCUGCGAUACCGUAAGGUGGAGCGAAUCCCAAAAAGCCGGUCUCAGUUCGGAUUGAGGUCUGCAACUCGACCUCAUGAAGUCGGAGUCGCUAGUAAUCGCAGAUCAGCAACGCUGCGGUGAAUACGUUCCCGGGCCUUGUACACACCGCCCGUCAAGUCAUGAAAGUCGGUAACACCCGAAGCCAGUGGCCUAACCGCAAGGAGGGAGCUGUCGAAGGUGGGAUCGGUGAUUAGGACUAAGUCGUAACAAGGUAGCCGUACCGGAAGGUGCGGCUGGAUCACCUCCUUUCUAAGGA